RNAcentral lists this ribosomal RNA (246 nucleotides) under uncultured bacterium. RNAcentral's name for it is "partial 16S ribosomal RNA". It matches the Rfam family "Bacterial small subunit ribosomal RNA", at positions 337 to 599 of the family's 1533-position model. The record is from RNAcentral.
ACCUACGGGGGGCAGCAGUGGGGAAUAUUGCACAAUGGGGGAAACCCUGAUGCAGCAACGCCGCGUGAGUGAAGAAGGUUUUCGGAUUGUAAAGCUCUGUUAGCAGGGAAGAGGAAGGACGGUACCUGCAGAGGAAGCCACGGCUAACUACGGGCCAGCAGCCGCGGUAAUACGUAGGUGGCAAGCGGUGUUUGGAAUAACUGGGCGGAAAGGAUGCGUAGGCGGGGAAACAAGUUAUAUUUUUAA